RNAcentral lists this ribosomal RNA (465 nucleotides) under uncultured bacterium. RNAcentral describes it as "partial 16S ribosomal RNA". It matches the Rfam family "Bacterial small subunit ribosomal RNA", at positions 338 to 795 of the family's 1533-position model. The record is from RNAcentral.
CCUACGGGAGGCAGCAGUGGGGAAUAUUGCGCAAUGGGCGAAAGCCUGACGCAGCGCCGCCGCGUGAGGGCUGAAGGUCUUCGGAUCGUAAACCUCUGUCAGCAGGGAAGUACGGUCCCUGUGCUAAUAAGCAGUGAAUUUACGGUCCCUGCCAAGGCAUCACCGGCUAACUCCGUGCCAGCAGCAGCGGUAAUACGGAGGCUGCGCGCGUUAAUCGGAAUUACUGGGGGUAAAGCGCUCGUAGGCGGUAUGUCAAGUCAAGGGUGAAAUCCCCGCGCUGAACGUGGGAACUGCAUGUUAAACUGGCAAACGGGAGUGUGUGAGAGGAGAGUGGAAUUCCAGGGGUAGGAGUGAAAUCCGUAGAUAUCUGGAGGAACAUCAGUGGCGAAGGCGACUAUCUGGCACAUAACUGACGCUGAGGAGCGAAAGCGUGGGUAGCAAACAGGAUUAGAUACCCUUGGAGUC